UGUUGUACCUACCCGGAUUUUUAUAAAUGAACCAUCUGUUUGUAGUCCUUGUAAUAGUCAAUGAAAGCUAGUUAAAUUACAGAUUACCAUUUGUGUUUCUUUGGCCCUUAUAAGUAUUAUUUUUCAUUUUUUACAUAAUUAGAACUUUUUUUAAAAUAGAGAAUUUUAACAGUUCAAAUUUGUUUAGUUGAUGUUGCAUGUUGUUACUAGUCAAAUUUUAUCUCACCCACCUAAUUUGCAUUAUGUUCAUUUUAUUCCUCAUUUUCUUUUUUUAGGACCCAAUGUUGUCUUCCAGUUGUGAAAGCACCCCAGAGACCCACUAUCCAAGUUUCACUCUAGCGUGGAGGCAGGGCAGGCAGCCCUGACCACAUAUCUCCUACACAAUUCGUUCACUUCGUUUGAAUGUUAGAGCCACUUGUGAUUAUUUUUUUGUGUUUCUAACUUAUAGUUUAAAUUUAUUUGUAAAAAGUUAAAGGAUAGUGGGUCUUUGUGUGGCUUUCCCUGCUGUUCACUCUGGCAUCUUUAGCAUUUUUCUUCUUUUUUAAUUUGAUAAUUGUAGGUCAUUAGCAUGCAUAUUGAGUUUGCCCUUAUGUGGUGGGAGUUCAAACACACAAAGACCCACUAUUUGCACAAACUAUUCUUACUGGUUUGUAAUAGGCUGCCAUGCUUUUUUAAUGUUAUUGCAACAUGUGUAUUCAUUUACAGAAUUCAGAUAAAAUUUGCUUAUGUUCUGCUAUUAUGUUUAAUCCUAAUCACAGUGAGCUCUUAAUUCGCUCAAUAUGUGGUUUGCCCUCAAGUGCACACUGUUUAUUACUUUGUAAUAUGCCACUAUGAGUACUGACAUUUAGAUUUGUUUAAAGGCCAAGAACUGGAAACAGCCAUGCCCUGUUUUCUGUGUAUUCGGGAUGGGAAUAACAACAUUUUGGGGGAGCUUUUUAAAUCUCAGAGAAGAGGAAAGUGGCCUGCUCUGGCAGGCAUGUGCAGAAUAGAGUGUUUCAUUUGUUUCAGUCCCAAGAAUGAGCCUUGUCCUAUGGUCGUUCCCUUAGAAUCUUUAUGUGCUCUGGGCUGAUGAAGAUACUGCAUCAUGUGCUGCAGCGUUUGUAUUCUCUUUCAAUGACCUAAAAAGGGAUUAUUUUUGAGGAAUGAAAGACUCCCAUCGUUGACUGUGAGAUGUGAAAAACCUUUCCUAGCUUAGAGCAUUUAUAUCUACAGUCAUUUUAAAGUCAGAGUUCAUUGUUACCUGUUUUAAUCAGGUGACUACAUGUCCCAGUAUACAAAAGGGCACUGGUCGACAUUCUUCUUCAUGUAUUUAGUAAAGAUCAUAAGAAGUCCUUUAAGAGUUUAAAUGUCCCGAAAACAGACAUGCAGGCUCCAGUCAAGAAUGAAUUAGAGUGAAGGAGAGCUGUGUAACACCUGGCAUUCCUCUGUGUUCAUGGAGCUUCUUUGAGGCUCAGACUUCUCUGGCUAAUGCCUGUUCUUCAACCACAUUGGCUACUUUGACAUAGAAAUUUACUUCUUUUCCUUGAAUGGAAAACACUUUAAAAAAUAAUAACAAACAUUAUUAUAAACUAAUAUAUGUGAGAGUGCUUAGUUGAAACAAAAAGGAGUUUUAGUAGACAGUAUUAUACUAUAUUUGAAAAUCAAGGAGAAGUUUUUACAACUUAAAAUGUUUACAAACUGCAGUGCAAUCUACUGUUUGUGAAUGUCAGAGUAUCAGGAAAAGUGUAUAUACAAUCACAGAGUCAUAUUUCCUCACAAAGUUAUUUACAAAGAGUGAAAUAUGUUUUUAUACCUCUCAGUUUCAGUUAGAGGCAUAUUUUGUGCAAUAUUUAUGUUAAUGUGCCUAUACAUUAUGAAUGAAUUAUUUCAGUCAUACAUUGCCUAAAUCAUAACUCUAUGAUGCUUGGGAAAGAAUCAACAGUUAAAACUUCAUAAAGUUCUAAUGUCUGUGUUUCAAAAUACAUCACAUUAUUAGGCUGUAGGGAGAUACGUAUGUGUGCUCCCUAGGGUGGCAAUUUCUAGUUACUAGACCACCUCUAUUUUUAGCAUUUGGCAUCCUCAUGAUACUUUUAUAAAUAUGACAUUAAUAGGAAAGCAAUAAUAUCAUUUUACAGAUGGAAUAACAGAUUUGCCUGCAUUCACUGAAAGAGUGCAAAGAUUGGGUCCUUGUGAAUUCAACUGACUCUUUCAAAUUGUAUUAAUUACCUGUUCUUGCCUUUUAUUUUCUGAACUUGCUGCUUUUGCAUUCUUUUGAGUUCAAAGACAGUUACUUCAAAUCCAUUUUUAAACCCUCGGGGUAGAAAUCAUACCACUGUUAAUUAGCCACAUUAUUUUGGUCUAACGUUUUUUCUUUAUAAUUCUGAAACUGAGUUUAUCUAAUAUAUUGAUGAAUUAUUUCAAAGGUAUUUUUAUAGUGCAAAUCACUUCACUUUUACACUGAUAAAUAUAAAUUACUAGGAAUGACCUUCAGAUAGCAUUUGGCAUCUGUAACCAAUCUGAAAAUAAUGUGUUCAUCAGGUACCUAUGGAUUAAAUCAUAUACUGGCAUAUUUAAGCUGAAUGUCAGUCUGGAAAAUAAAUUUACUAUAUUAACUGAAAUACCACUCUUUGUGUAGGUAUUUUGUCAUAUAUUUAAGAAAAAGCUAAAAAGAAUGGAAAUCAUACGACAUAAUAACUAAGUCUUUCUUAAAAGUGCAUGCAGUCUUUUGCAAUACCUCAUUCAGCCAAGUAUUUGUUCUCUUCCUCAUUCAGUAUAAGGCAGCUUUCAGUUUUCUUAGAAGGCAACAUUAGAAGGUUAGAGUUCAUCAGAAACAUAGAAUUUUAAAAUGUGAGUUCAACUGAAUGAAUUUGAAUUUCUGUAGGAGGUAAAGAAUCAAAAUACCAAAUUGCAAUAUAUAAUAAUCACAUUUAAAUUAUUUGAUUAAACCUUUUAGGUUUUCCAGAAAUGAAAAGAAUCAGUUCUAAAACCAAAGCUGAUUUUUAGAAAAUUUGAAAAUGUAAAUCAGCCCUAUCCAUAAUAUAGUUUCUAUAAAACUUUAUCUUAAUUUUAAAAUAAUAUAACUAUUAAAAAUGUAACUGAUACAUAAAUGUUUUGAAAUAAAACAUUUAAAAAUAUAAAUACUGUAGUUUAAAAGAAAGAAACUGGGGGAAGGAAAAGUAGAGAAAGAAAUGCCAAUUCCAGUCCAAAGCUUUAUUUGCCAAGUUUUCUUAGAGUGACUUUUACCAAUUUACGAAUUCUUGUAAGCAGAAUCUAUAAUGGAAAUACUGAAAGACUUGCCUAAAGUGGCAUUAUUGAAUGCUGCUGUGAUGCUACUGUAAUGUAAUAAAUUAUUAAAUUGUUGCAAAGUGCUGUUUUUGCCUUAAAAUUUUAUUUUGUGUGUCUUGAAAACUAUAGUAUUAAAGGUAUUGAGAUUGUGCAAAUGCUGGGCACGCUUGGCAUGAGAUAAUCUGUUUUUAUUUUUACAAAAUUGUAAUAUAACUAUGCAAGUGUGUUUAUUAAAAGAACACAAACUA
This is a long non-coding RNA of Mandrillus leucophaeus (drill), 3512 nucleotides long. RefSeq lists it as uncharacterized. Lineage: Eukaryota; Metazoa; Chordata; Mammalia; Primates; Cercopithecidae. The transcript is spliced from 2 exons. The record is from RefSeq and is a predicted model, not a curated record.